Molecule: ribosomal RNA, 788 nt
Filed under: Glomus sp. 0827-4
Lineage: Eukaryota; Fungi; Glomeromycota; Glomeromycetes; Glomerales; Glomeraceae
Description: partial 18S ribosomal RNA
Rfam family: Eukaryotic small subunit ribosomal RNA
Source: RNAcentral
GGGGNGGNUUNNNNUUAAGCUUCCUGGUGGUCCGGGUAACGGGGAAUUAGGGUUCGAUUCCGGAGAGGGAGCCUGAGAAACGGCUACCACAUCCAAGGAAGGCAGCAGGCGCGCAAAUUACCCAAUCCCGACACGGGGAGGUAGUGACAAUAAAUAACAAUACGGGGCUCUUUCGGGUCUCGUAAUUGGAAUGAGUACAAUUUAAAUCCCUUAACGAGGAACAAUUGGAGGGCAAGUCUGGUGCCAGCAGCCGCGGUAAUUCCAGCUCCAAUAGCGUAUAUUAAAGUUGUUGCAGUUAAAAAGCUCGUAGUUGAAUUUCGGGAUUGACACAUCGGUCGUGCCCUAAGGGGUAUGAACUGGUGUAGUCAAUUUCUCACCUUCUGGAGAACCGCGAUGCCCUUAAUUGGGUGUCACGGGGAACCANGACCUUUACUUUGAAAAAAUUAGAGUGUUUAAAGCAGGCAUUUUGCUUGAAUACAUUAGCAUGGAAUAAUAAAAUAGGACGGCAUGAUUCUAUUUUGUUGGUUUCUAGGAUCACCGUAAUGAUUAAUAGGGAUAGUUGGGGGCAUUAGUAUUCAAUUGUCAGAGGUGAAAUUCUUGGAUUUAUUGAAGACUAACUACUGCGAAAGCAUUUGCCAAGGAUGUUUUCAUUAAUCAAGAACGAAAGUUAGGGGAUCGAAGACGAUCAGAUACCGUCGUAGUCUUAACCAUAAACUAUGCCGACUAGGAAUCAGACGAUGUUAAUUUUUUAAUGACUCUUUNGAAGGUNNUNCANNNNAANNNNNNCC